UUUUAGCCCCGAUCGCAGCAAAUGUUUGAGCUCAUUUUUAGUGAUUUUGCAGCGGCGGCAAAGCCGCCGCUGCAAAAUCACUAAAAAUAGCGAGUGCGGAGAGCGGGAUUAAGU
RNAcentral lists this unclassified non-coding RNA (114 nucleotides) under Chryseobacterium formosense. RNAcentral describes it as "Flavo-1 RNA". The record is from RNAcentral. Lineage: Bacteria; Pseudomonadati; Bacteroidota; Flavobacteriia; Flavobacteriales; Weeksellaceae.